GUCCCAGGGGGACAAGCCGGGCAGCUCCGGAGAGAAGGCCCUGGGCAGGCCCCACCAGGACCUCCGGGCCUCGGUUACUCAUCCCAGGGAUCACAGAGCAGCAUCUAGUGGCCCUUCUGGGCAGCACAGAUUACAUAACCAGUACACAGCAGGCCAGCAGAGCCAGCAGUCUGUCUCUGCUCCCACACCUCCAAGAAAGUCCUGGCACCAUGAAGGCUGGGGAUCAGGAAGGAACCUAGUGCAUCAGAGUUCAAACCAGCGACACUGCAAGGGCUCAACAGCCACCAAGAGCUGGUGGCUACAUGUUGGACAGUGCGAGUCUAGAAGUCAUUGGACUAGCAUCCACAAAGGAAGCAAAGAGAAGGGCCGAGGCCCUGAGCUCCUUGGGAAAUCCACUCCCCUCUGCUGGUAGAAGUUCUUCAUGGAAGCAACACUCUUUUUUUGCAGGUAAAAUACAGAUACAAUACUAAAAUAAUGGCUGAGUUGCUCAGACUGAGGAGGAGUUGGCAGGCCCUCCAGUGACUCCAGAGCCCCCUCAGAAGAACCAUUCCUGGGGUCUGAGGGAAGUAUGAAAAUCACAUCUGAAAAUUCUAAAGGAAACCAAACCACUAGUGAUCAGGACCCUCCAGGUACUUGCAGUUCCAUUACAGGUGUCCCUUGGUAUCUGAAGGGAGUCAGACCCAGGACCCCCAUGGAUACCAAAAUCUACGGUGCUCCAGUACCCUAUAUAAAAUGGUGUGUUAUUUGUAUAUAACCUCCACACAUCCUCCCAUAUACUUUAAAUCACCUCUAGAUUUUUUUUUAAUACCCAAUUCAAUACAAACACUAAAUAAAUAGUUGUUAAACUGAUUAUUUUGGGAAUGACCAGGGCAAAAGUCUAUAUAUGUUCACACCAUGUGCAACCAAUACAUUUUUUUUUUUGAGAGGUUUUCGCCAUAGGGCGCGUGCACUCGCCAGACAGACAGAG
Molecule: long non-coding RNA, 967 nt
Organism: Tupaia belangeri chinensis (Chinese tree shrew)
Lineage: Eukaryota; Metazoa; Chordata; Mammalia; Scandentia; Tupaiidae
Exons: 3
Source: RefSeq, a predicted model, not a curated record